RNAcentral lists this transfer RNA (73 nucleotides) under Ovis aries (sheep). It matches the Rfam family "tRNA". Rfam says of the family: Transfer RNA (tRNA) molecules are approximately 80 nucleotides in length. Their secondary structure includes four short double-helical elements and three loops (D, anti-codon, and T loops). Further hydrogen bonds mediate the characteristic L-shaped molecular structure. tRNAs have two regions of fundamental functional importance: the anti-codon, which is responsible for specific mRNA codon recognition, and the 3' end, to which the tRNAs corresponding amino acid is attached (by aminoacyl-tRNA synthetases). tRNAs cope with the degeneracy of the genetic code in two manners: having more than one tRNA (with a specific anti-codon) for a particular amino acid; and 'wobble' base-pairing, i.e. permitting non-standard base-pairing at the 3rd anti-codon position. Lineage: Eukaryota; Metazoa; Chordata; Mammalia; Artiodactyla; Bovidae. The record is from Rfam by way of RNAcentral.
UCCCUGGUGGUUCAGUGGUUAAGACUCUGCACUGCCAACGCAGUGGGCGUGGGUUUGAUCCCUAGCCAGGGAA